AAUAAGAAGCUUUUAUUGGGUAUAGAUUAGCUUUGAAAGAGGAACUGGGAACCAGGAAUAAGGAACUGGGAAUAAGGAACCAAGUUCAGCCUUGUGCAUCACCCUUCAAAGGAUCUCACAGGCCCCUGGUUGAGAAUCACUGGUUCAGAAUGAUUUAAGGCACUGCAUUGGCAUCAAAAUAAACCCAAUGUGCAGCUACACACAAGCCACACAGUUACACAAAAAUAGAUAGAUUUCCUUGGAUGCACAUGUAAUUUAAAUGCAAGGCCUUGGCAGAGGGACACUUGUGUGACACCAAUAAAGGAGCAACCCCUCUACAUCACUAGAGCAGCGAUCCUCCUAUGCAGUUUAUAUAAGAGAAAGGCUGCACCUGCACCUCACUGCUGAAGUGAGAGGGGUUCUGCUUGAGCAUGUGAAUCUAAGCCUACAAAUACUUUUGCAAGCAUAGACUGGGCAUACACAGUUUUGAACCGAUUUAACUAUUGCUUUAGAAAUCAGUACAUUUCUGCAGAUACUAAGGUGUUUCUCGUGCUGGGUAGCUUGUUUCAGUAAGUUUGUAAGCACUAGAUAUUACGAGGGCUGCUCAUUUGCAGUGGGAUAUAUUUCUCAUUUAUUGUGGUUUGACCAUAGGAAUUUUCCUCCUCUCGCUUGUACAACUUGCUUUGAGAGAUUCUGAUGCUGCAAGCUGUCAAACAAGAAAUGUAUCGGGCCAAUUUACCAGCUACACCAGCUGUGACUGAGAUUUCAAGUUAUCAGCCACCUUUGUAUUUCUGGGGCUGUCUGAAUUUUCACGGAACAAUCCCGCCAGCUGGGUUUAUGAGUUAAGCACAGGUUGCAGAACCAACAGGAGGCCAACAGGUAGCACAACUGGUGAUACAUUUACAGAGCAAGUGCAAGGGGGGAAAAGAGACUUCUCUGAGAAAGGACAGCAUUGUUGCUAAAGGUUUCUCUGAAGAUGAGGUGGAGUCUCCUGCAGGGAUAAUAAGAUCUCUAGUAAGGGAAGCCAAGUCACUGCAGAGGACACCUGAGCAGGAUGUCUCUGGCUCCACACCUGCCUCUUUCCUGGCAGUUCCCCACAGCCCAGCCUCAGCUCUGCUCCAGCGGUCACAGAGUCUUCACCCUGCUCCCCAAGGCCCAGGUGUGGAGCUGAGCCACAGGCCCCUUUUCCUCCUUCCCAGGGAGGUGAUCCCAGGAGGCAGAGGGCAGAGAGCCCUGAUCCACUGAAGUGCCCCCCCUCCCCCCGCCCUCUCUCCAAAUGGGGCAGGAAAGGGACAGAGAGUGGGGCCUGGCCUGGCCUGACCCAGGAGGGGCUCUGAUUGGCUGGUGUCCCCCAGAAACUCCGAAAAAUGGGGCAGGCAGCCAAUCAGAAGUGAUCCCCAGUCAGGCCUGGCAUUUGUGGCUUUCAGGAUUGAUUUCCAGCCCUUGCUGUGGUUGGGUCUGGUGUGCAGGGCAGUGCUGGUGACCAGGCUUGUAACCCUCAUGGUAGAGGCCUUUCUCUGCAGCUGCUGCUCAGGGAGAGUGCCCGAUGGAGCACCAGUCUAUGAGCAGGGGCAGGCUGUCUCUGUGAGGCUCCAAGUGUCUGCCUGCCCCAGCCCAGGCAGUGAAGGAAGGAGGAAAUGGCUUGGCUGAGCCUGAUGGGACACUUAUCACGAGGAGAAGGGCUUGCUGGAGCCCAAGGGUAGAUCCAAAGGGGGAGGUGGCGUGUGAGAAGAGCUGGGGGGAGGCUGACUGGGAGCAGAAAGGGGCCUGUGACACACUGAGUUGAGGAAGAAGAACUGCGUCAGUGCGGGAGGACUCUUACUCAUUACUAUAGUACCUGAACCAAGACAUCCUACACGUGUAUGAUCCACAUCCUUAGCCCACUGUUGCCGUCAGGUGGCAGAGGUCUGUGCUGUAGGUCUGCGGGUCACAACCCUGCCGGUAACUCAGGCUGGGAUCAGCUCAGUUCCACGUAGUGGGACUUAUCAUUCGUUUCUGUCAUUUUUAAUGAAGAAAUAAUGAAAAAGCCUUUAGCAAAGACCCUUCGAGUUGCAAAGUCAAGACAUCAAGAGGUGGUAAAAACCAGAACUGAGGAACAAGAGAAAUCCUAGCAAUGGUACAGGAUUUUUGUCAGAUGUAGCAGGUCGACUAUGUUGCAACAAACAAAAAUGUUCAAUAAAUAUUCAUAUUCUGUGUCUAGAAAGAAACAAAAUGAUGAGGUCAUAUUGCAUGAGGAAGAUGAACUUUCCAGUCUGAUUAAUAACAAAAACACUAGUCCAUUUCUCCUAGAAAUAAAACACAAAAAUUGAGAGAGAAAAUGCCUGAUGAAGAGAAAUUUAAAAAGUUUGAUCUCUUUGGUUUAUAAAAAAGUAAAGUGAGGGGUGACUCAGUUAAACAGAAGUACAGUUAGGGAGGGAGUCCCUUGUGGUUCACUGGUAGCAUCCUUGUCUACAACACAGGAGAUCUGAGUUCAAGUCCCAGACACUUGCACAGCUACAGCCAUGGAGGCACCAAGCAUCUGGACUCAAGUUUGGUCUUCGGAUUCUGUCUCAGUGGCCUAAAGGGCAGGUGGACAGUCUGGGUACCCUCCACUCCUUCAAAAAUUCCUGCUCAAGCAUGUGUAUUGAAGGUCUGGGUGGCCCUUGUGCAUAUACCAUGAUCCAGGAUUGCCACAUUUGUGGAGAAAAUACUAGCUACUAAAAGGCUCUUUGAUCUAAUGGAGAAAUGCCUAGCAACAGUGAAUGGCUGGAAGCUGGAGCCAGAUGCAAUCAAAUUAGGAAAAGGUAUCAUUUUUAAGUGUGGGAGUGAUUAUUAAAAUAAAAUACCAAGGGAAGUGAGGGAUCUUCUGUCUCUUUGUAUCUUCAGCUCCAGACUGGAAGGCUUUAUAAAGAAUAGAGAAUAUGCAUUAGGCAAACAUAAUUUACCACACUCUAUUACAAGGGUGAUUGGGUGAAAUGUUAAUGGCCUGUGAUAUGCAGAUUAGACUUAAAAAUCCAGCAGUCCCUUUUUGCCUCAAACUCCAUGAAUCCAUGAAUGUCCACCAUUAAGUGUGUCUGCAAGGUUGAACUGAGUGUUGUGCUAGCAUUGUGUGUAGCUGUUAAGAGCAUUUUAGAGUUAGAUGCUUUAUUUAUUUUUCAGUAAUUCUGGUGAGAGCAGCUCUUAAACUGGCAUGUAAAAUUUCCUUUAGAAACUCAUCUGAGCCAUGACUUUUAUUAUGAUGCAGGUCCUGCAUUGUUUGUUAUUUGACUUCUCAUGUAAAUUCAGAUUCCAAGAAAUACUAAUAAUUCAUAUUGCAGUAAUGCCUGGAGACAGCCGAGAUUGGAGCCCAUUGUUCUGGGCUCUGUGUGUACACAUAAUGAAAAGAUCAUCUCUGUCCCCAAUGCUUUACACUCUUCACGUAUAGUGAGAGAGAACAAAUAAACAGUGUUUAAGAAAACUAGGUUGUUUAUCAAGACCUGAGCAUUAUACUCUACCGAUUUGCAUCUGAUUACACUGAUGAGUUUCACCUCAUUUUACCCCAUAGUGAGAGAAGGUUUGUGUCCAUGGUCCUUGCAGAGUCACUGUCAUCCAUACAACAUGACACAUUUGAGUCCAUAUAAUAUCUAAUCUGUGAUACAUAGAAAAACUGUUGGUUCACCAUGAAUACUGCAGAGUAAUCUGUUAAAUUGGGUGUACUAUAUUCAGUUCCAUUCUUUGUUUCAGGUUGCUAUCAGGCGACACCUGCUGGCUGGUUUGCUCUCAAUGUUCAUUUGGUAACCUUUUUUCUGGCCAAUUAAUGGAACAGGGCUGUUCAGUUUCUGGACAGUUGGGGCUGCAUGCACCUGAGUGCAGACACCCGGGUUGCAUGCAGCAUCGGCCACAGACCUCUGGGCUCCCACCUCCUCCAUGUGUGCAGAUGCAAACCCAUUCCUGAUCCUGCAUACAGGGCUCCUCUUUUGCAGCAUAAUCAGUCUGGAUAUGUGGCACCCUCUUGCCACCCUGGCCCUAGGAGCGGAAAACAAAGGGAGGGGGAGCGUGCUGGGAAGAGCCAGGGCUGUGCCGGGUGGGGAGGGGGGUUAGAAGGGUCUAUGGUGAAACUUGGGGUGGCUGCAGCCCCCCCCCCCAUAACUCCCUCCCAGUGCCACCAACACUCACCCCAAGGCCAGCCCUUGCUGAGAAGACCCUAGCGCAGCCCCGGCUCCAGCCCACAGCUGCAGCCUGCCUACCCUGCCCUAUGCAGAUCUGGCUGCACACAUCUCCUCCCCCCGUGCCCUCCCAGGGUGUGCACAUCAGUGGGACCGCCCCUCACCCCAGACGAGCUAUCCUGCACCCCACCCACCCAGCUGAGCAGCAUCUGCCUCUGCCCCACUCCCUCCCUUACCAUGGGGGGCAUUGAUCUGUCCCCACAAUGCCCCUUCCUUCCCUCAAGUGGCAGUUUGAGCCUGCAACCCUGGCAGGUAGCCAGGUGUCACAGUGCACAUUUCGGCACGUAGAGCUAGGGCUCUGGGAGCCGUGAACGGUGGCUGGAGCCUGCAACCCCAGACGGCCUGCGGAUCUCACGGUGUGCAGGGCAGCGCAUGGGCCCGGGCCUUAGGAGCUGCAGCAGGGUGGCUCAGGCCCGUAACUCAGGCAGGCGGCUGAGCAGGGAGGUAUGCAAAUGGCGCAUGGAGAGCCAGCCCUUGGAGCAGCUCAAGGCUGCUUGGGCCCCACACGGUGUGCAGGUCGGCGCAUGGAGAGUUGCGCCUGGGAGCAGCUCAAGGCUGCUCAAGUUAGCCCUGGCUCUAGGCCAGAUAACCAGAGCCCUGCAGUGUGGCUCAGCAUUAAACUAAAAGAGCCCCAGUGCCCCAAGCAGAGCCCAGGAAGGGGAAAGACCCCUGGUGUGAGGCUGGGGAACCAGAGCCAGUGAGGGCUCAUCUCCCGUAGGAGCUCCCUGGGUGCCCAACGCAGGGCACAGGGCCCAGAGGGAAGAACCCUCAACUCAAGGCCAACGGCUCCAGGAGGCCUGAGAUGGUGUGGGGACCCAGAGUCCAGAUCAACAGCACCCAGAGGAAGUACUGUGAGUUACCCAGAACCCGGGUCCUGCAGGGGAGGUGUCCCCGGGCAAGGGACCCUGGGGGGAGUGGACCUAGGGGGAGAAGACCCUAUCCCAUUUGAGGGACCAAGUGAUUGGAACCCAGAUAGGGUGCGUCUAAUAUCUGGUAUAGUUGUUUCCUAUUCGGUAUCUAUUGUUAUUGUUGGUGUUAUAAAUAGUUGGGUAUUAAUUCUGUAUAAUAGGCUCUGUAAGGAUGUCUUUAUUAGCUAACCCACUUGUGGUAUAAACUUGCUGGAUUGACUGUCCUGGGAUCCAUCCCUCUUCUGGUCCUGAGGCACAGGUACUUACCUGAAUGCCCUCCCUAGGGCCGACUUCCUCCAGCUAACAGACCUUUAUAUGUAUAUUUGUAUUUAUAUUUGUAAUUAUAUCUCUCUUAAAGAGUUUUAUAUAUAUGUUGGUAACUCAAUAAAUUGUAUAUAGUUGAGAACUUUGGGCUUGGGAUAACUCUAUAGAGGAAAGAGGGAUCCACUGGAAAUUCUGGCAUCCCUCUCACAGCACCCCCCCCUCCUGCCUACCUAUCCCAUCCAAUUGAGAAUAGGGCACACCCUUGGGUGUACCCAGGUUACACUACAAUAAGUGCCAACUCAAAACACAAUAGUUUUCCCCUGGAAGUUACUGUCCAGCCUCCUGGAUCAGGAACAUAGUUUUCUGAAAGAUCUCCUGCUGCGAGGUGAGAUUUCCUAAUAAAACACAAACAGGCUCACCACUGGGACACGACUCUCUCUCCGAUCAAGGCCAGGUUCUCAUGGAAGGUAAGUACCUGGCCCAGGGGUCCCUGCUGGAUUUGUGCCACUGAGUAUCCCAUUUUCUGGGAGAUGACAUAUGAUCCAUGAGACCCUGGUUGCUGUCACAGUUCUCUUUUCCUUUAUUCAGAUUAAUUAUGUUUGUUUCUUAGACUCGGAGGCAGCAAGGGGCUGACAGGCAGCAAUGGGAGCUGCAAUAAGAGAGCAGGAGGAGAGAGAACCUGCUCAGAAAGGCAGGUCUCAGCCCUACAGUGUAUAGUCAUCUGUGAGUAUGCCACUCCCAAAAUCAUACUACUCCAUCAAGUGAGCUUCUUUCUCAUGAGGAAGCAUGUUGCUCAGCUGCCAUUUUCUUCUUUAACUGGAAAUGAGUAAUAGCAGCAUUCUGCUUCCUGGGAGGUGGCACUAUUACCCAGCCAAGACUUUAUUGGUUCCCCUGCAUCUGCAACAUCCAGAAUGGGGAGAAUUUGGAAGUUGACUGAAAAUCACAACCAACUGGAAAUGUUUUCUGCAGCUCCUCAGCUGUGUUGCUCAUCUCCGAUCACCUCCUUUCUACAAGGUGACAUUUGGAGCAGUUUAUCCCCUGCAGAUCCUCCCUGGAUUUGUGUGUCUCUGCACUGCCUGUUUCCUGGCAAGUGGGGCUUUGUGUAAAGACUUUAUCAAUUCUCCUCACGCAUCCUGUCUCCUAUUCCUCUUUUAGAAGGAGAGACAGCAGUGGCGGCUGCAGAAACCUCUGAGGAGGAGGGAGGAGCAGCAGAGAGUAGCCAGUAUGUAAAAGAAGUGAAUCACAGCUUAUUAAAAUGAUCAUCAUUGUCUGAAA
Molecule: long non-coding RNA, 6610 nt
Organism: Alligator mississippiensis (American alligator)
Lineage: Eukaryota; Metazoa; Chordata; Crocodylia; Alligatoridae
Exons: 2
Source: RefSeq, a predicted model, not a curated record